This 429-nucleotide ribosomal RNA is filed under the name Gemmatimonadota bacterium. RNAcentral's name for it is "Gemmatimonadetes bacterium partial 16S ribosomal RNA". It matches the Rfam family "Bacterial small subunit ribosomal RNA", at positions 355 to 776 of the family's 1533-position model. Lineage: Bacteria; Pseudomonadati; Gemmatimonadota. The record is from RNAcentral.
UAGGGAAUCUUCGGCAAUGGACGAAAGUCUGACCGAGCAACGCCGCGUGAGUGAAGAAGGUUUUCGGAUCGUAAAACUCUGUUGUUAGAGAAGAACAAGGACGUUAGUAACUGAACGUCCCCUGACGGUAUCUAACCAGAAAGCCACGGCUAACUACGUGCCAGCAGCCGCGGUAAUACGUAGGUGGCAAGCGUUGUCCGGAUUUAUUGGGCGUAAAGCGAGCGCAGGCGGUUUCUUAAGUCUGAUAUGAAAGCCCCCGGCUCAACCGGGGAGGGUCAUUGGAAACUGGGGGAGUUGAGGGCAGAAGAGGAGAGUGGAAUUCCAUGUGUAGCGGUGAAAUGCGUAGAUAUAUGGAGGAACGCCAGUGGCGAAGGCGGCUCUCUGGUCAGUAACUGACGCUGAGGCUCGAAAGCGUGGGGAGCAAACAGU